UGACGCAGCGACGCCGCGUGGGGGAUGACGGCYUUCGGGUKGUAAACCUCUUUCGCCAUCGAGGAAGCCUUCGGGUGACGGUAGGUGGAGAAGAAGCACCGGCCAACUACGUGCCAGCAGCYGCGGUAAUACGUAGGGUGCGAGCGUUGUCCGGAAUNAUUGGGCGUAAAGAGCUCGUAGGCGGUGUGUCACGUCGGUCGUGAAAACUUGGGGCUUAACCCUGAGCGUGCGGUCGAUACGGGCAUCACUGGAGUUCGGCAGGGGAGACUGGAAUUCCUGGUGUAGCGGUGAAAUGCGCAGAUAUCAGGAGGAACACCGGUGGCGAAGGCGGGUCUCUGGGCCGAUACUGACGCUGAGGAGCGAAAGUUGGGGAGCGAACAGGAUUAGAUACCCUGGUAGUCCACGCCGUAAACGGUGGGCGCUAGGUGUGGGGGCCAUUCCACGGUCUCUGUGCCGCAGCUAACGCAUUAAGCGCCCCGCCUGGGGAGUACGGCCGCAAGGUA
This 503-nucleotide ribosomal RNA is filed under the name uncultured bacterium. Its description in RNAcentral is "bacterial SSU rRNA". It matches the Rfam family "Bacterial small subunit ribosomal RNA", at positions 384 to 895 of the family's 1533-position model. The record is from RNAcentral.